UGGAACCCAAAAGGUGUUAGUGUUCUGUUAUAAGCACCAGAACGAGCAAUUCCACAACAGAAAAGAUGAGGUGCAUGGGCAAGGAGGUUUGCUGUCAUGAAUGCCCCAUAGGAGUGACCACCAACAGCAAUUUUUUUUGGAUCAGCCACCUAAAAAACAAAGCACCAGAAAACUCAGCCAUAAUUUCUACGUUCCAUGCAAUGUAUGUUCAGCGAGAAGAAGAAAAACUUACUCCACGGCGUACAACUUCUUCCACUGCAGCCUCAGCGCUUGCAACAAGUUGUUCUAUGUACCUGGUUAAGCCAUCAUUUAUUCAAUAAACACCCAAAUCUCCAAGUCGAAGGUGGAAAAGUAAAAGAAUUCGCUUCAGCACAAGAUGAAGACAUAGAUUAUCCUUAAAAUUAGCUCCGGAACAUCAAUAGUCUACAAGGAGGAGUAGAGGAAGCAAGUCCACUCAACAUCCCAAGACACCCUCUGUUCCCCACCCCAAACAAAAGCAAAAAAGAGAGUAUAAGGGUGUAAUAAUGCUUCAUCUCUAGUCAGUAACCACACAAGCUUAAAAUUUUAUGGAGGAAAACUUCAGUAGAAUAGGUACACACAACAUGGUAUUCAGCAUGAUACUCAUACAAAAGUGAAGUUUUUUGAGAAGAAUUAAGUGAUGGAGAAGUCCAACAAACAACUUUCAGAGGGACCAAUUUUUAGUAAAUUAGCUUAUGGUGCUUAACCAUCUAGAAACAAAACACAGGCUCUGAUUCAUAAGAACAAUAUAAAGAUCAAACUUUCAGCAAGCACUAUGAAGUUCAACUCAUUUCAUAAAAAAGACUAAAGCACCGAUCGGCUCAAAAUACAGGAGUAACUUAUCAAGAUGCAACUGAAAGAAAAACAUGCAAGAGAAAGGAAAUCUAAAAUGACAGACAGUAGUUAAUCACAUCAUUAUCCAAUAGCAAUUGAAAAGAACGGAAGAACCAAGGAGAUCAGGAUUUCACUUCUGAAUGCUCAUUGUACUGUAAAUUUUACCAGAUGAACUGUCAAAACCAGUGUUAGAAUCCUUGUGAAUAUAUUCUAGAAGAUAUGUAAAUAUAGUAGGUAACUUAAUUUACUCCCACUAUACUUGGGUAUUGUUUUGUAUUGAUUUUCUUUCCUUUUUAGACAAACAUAGUUAUUUAAACCCCAUAGCUCGAGGGAAUAAUCAAACCGAGUUCCUCUCAUUUUUCAUCCGCUUCACAUGAUAUUAGAGCCUGGUUAAGGUCAAUAACAUAGGAAGAGAAAGUUCUAAACUCGGAAAAAAUGUAAGGCAACUUUUCUUGGCUGUCUGAUGAGAUCCAUUUCCCCAGGUGUUGCAACCAAACCAACAUCACCACGAGAAGCGGAAGAACAGAGCAAACCCUAGCAAGCUCCGUCACCGUCUGACCUUCCACGCACCUCCUACAUCAAUCAGACCAAUGCACUUUCUGACAAGAUCUGCACACACGCCUAAGCGUGGGCACUGUUGUCACCACUUUCUGGUGAGUUCUAUUUUCCAGAUCACCUCGCCUCCUUAUUCGGGAUCAUCAGAUUCCGUGCACUCCCCAGAGAGACAAUUCAUCUUUCCACGAUAAACCAAAAAAUGCUCAUGUUGCUCAGACUGAAUCCAAUCGUAAUCUAACCAUCAGAUGUUCUCUAUAUAUAAGGAAGAAUACAAUGACCAUCUUCAGUAUCAAGCAAAUAAGCAGACAUUUCCACCAAUAGCUUUUGUUGCUCAGACAGAUAAUCCUGUUGCUUGUAUCUCACAAUCCACAACACUUCUUCCUUAGAUCACGGAGUCACGCUUCUGACGACAUUUCUAGCAAGAAAUAUACAUUUCCUGAUACAUCUUAUUCUCCUCGGUCUUUUCAACUAUUAUGUUAGCUAAUGGCUCUAUGGGUUCGAUCAAGUCAAUCCUUUACCUUCUUUGACUCUGAAUAAUGUUCUUUUUGUCAUUGAUCCUUUCAGCCUUCUGUUAAUCAGUCAUUUAGCUAAGACUUUACACUGUUUCAUCUCAUUCUUUAGUGACUUGUUUGUAAUACAAGACCUUAGUACGGAAGGAUCAUUGGUGAAGGGUGUGAGCCAGAUGGACUUCAUUAUCUCAAUUCCCCAGUGCCAUUAUUGUUUGUUUGGUCUCCGACUCUCCAAAUUUAAUCCACGAGCAAUUUACAAGAAAAUGCUUUGAGCUUUUAGCAACUCCAGGGUUGUAUCAAAUAUCGUUGGUUGAAAGGCCUGAAAGACAACAUCUUUUUUGUUUGGGGGUAGCUAGAACACACAAACAUUAUGGCAUAAUUUCCAAAAUUUGCCUGGACAAAAUAUGGCUUAUAUACAUGAUGGAAGAUCUGUCGAAUUUACCUGUCAUUGGCCUCUUCAUCACCCUCUCCAAUAAUUGGGAUUGUCGGCCCUGACAAGACAGCAAACCUGAAAUUUAUGGUUUCAAACCAAACAGAUCCCCAAAAAAGAUUAAUACAACCACACAAGCAAAAUAACAGAUAUAACAAACAAAAGUAAUAUGGAUAAUACCGAGAACAGAGACACACCUCCUUGCUAACCAUAGGAGGGGGGAUGUUGGCCCAAUUCCAGCAAACUCAUUAGGGGAACCUCGAACUUGGCUAGCUGCCUCUUUACUCUUAAAUUCUCCAGGGUAUGACCAAACAAGGCAUGGAAGGGGUCCAUCUCUUGAGGGAUCAUAACCUGGUGGAAGAUAUA
This 2712-nucleotide long non-coding RNA is filed under the name Solanum lycopersicum (tomato). RNAcentral describes it as "long non-coding RNA (SLYC_LNC000338)". The record is from RNAcentral. Lineage: Eukaryota; Viridiplantae; Streptophyta; Magnoliopsida; Solanales; Solanaceae.